Non-coding RNA from Paramuricea clavata, 431 nucleotides. The record is from the annotation of a GenBank genome assembly. Lineage: Eukaryota; Metazoa; Cnidaria; Anthozoa; Malacalcyonacea; Plexauridae.
UGAUGUUCUUCAUAGUGGGAUACAAAAGGUGUGUUAGUGACUGAAUAAGGAAAAUAUUGCGUGUGAAACAGGGUCAGUAUAGAGCCGGCAGGAGCCGCGAAGAGUGCUGUUGUCGAAGAAAAAUGUCACAAUUACAGUAAUUGUAAUCUUGUCCAUUCACCUCUGUGUCAGUUUAAAAAAGCUUUAAUGUAGAGACAUUUGUGGUUCCUCCAGCAUAAUUUAGCCGUUUAACGCUACUAUGUUUCUAAUGGUUGAAAGAGCGCGUGGAAAGGGCAAUUUUCAAGAACAAAAACAAUCGAUGUACUGUGUGUUAAUUGCUACUGUAGUAUAAAAAUACCUGAAGAGUCUCAAUUCUAAUAUUAAGUCGGUUAUAAACCUUGAUAAUAUUAAAGUUUUCAGAAGAUUUGUAUAUCAGAGGAAUAUUAAAAGGA